AAAAACAAAAAAUGACUUGGUGACC
RNAcentral lists this non-coding RNA (25 nucleotides) under Rattus norvegicus (Norway rat). Lineage: Eukaryota; Metazoa; Chordata; Mammalia; Rodentia; Muridae. The record is from RNAcentral.